UACCUAUUAAUGUGCAAAUUCUGCCAUGCCAAGGUACUGGUAAACCUCAACCUCAGUUCAGUUCAUUCAUGACAGCAGCUUGGAUGCAGCCACAUCGGUUGCAGUAGUGGUGGGUCUUUAUAAAACUACCUGUGAUAAAACACUUUUUCCAA
Molecule: non-coding RNA, 152 nt
Organism: Tinamus guttatus (white-throated tinamou)
Lineage: Eukaryota; Metazoa; Chordata; Aves; Tinamiformes; Tinamidae
Source: RefSeq, a predicted model, not a curated record